Molecule: ribosomal RNA, 253 nt
Filed under: uncultured bacterium
Lineage: Bacteria
Description: partial 16S ribosomal RNA
Rfam family: Bacterial small subunit ribosomal RNA
Source: RNAcentral
UACGUAGGGACCAAGCGUUAUUCGGAUUCACUGGGCGUAAAGGGUGCGCAGGCGGCCAAGUGUGUGAGGCGUGAAAGCCCGGGGCUUAACCCCGGAAUUGCACCUCAAACUACUUGGCUAGAGCAUUGGAGAGGGUAGCAGAAUUCAUGGUGUAGCAGUGAAAUGCGUAGAUAUCCUGAGGAAUACCAGUGGCGAAGGCGGCACGCUGGGCCAUAACUGACGCUAAGACGCGAAAGCAUGGGUAGCGAACGGG